GGGGUUUUGGCUCAUCAGUAGAGCGCUCACCUAGCACGUGGGAGGCCCUGGGUUCAAUUCUCAGCACCA
Molecule: non-coding RNA, 69 nt
Organism: Ictidomys tridecemlineatus (thirteen-lined ground squirrel)
Lineage: Eukaryota; Metazoa; Chordata; Mammalia; Rodentia; Sciuridae
Source: Rfam